GGGCGGCGGGGAUGCGUCUGCUGUGCGGGGAGCGACGCGUUGCUGCGCGACCGCAACGGAAAGUGCGGAGAACAGCAGAGUGUGCGCGGAGAGAGCUCGCUGCCCGGCUGGGUCGGGGUCACCGCUCUGCGGUGCAGAAGCCGUUCCCACCUGCUGCGUGAUGUCCUUUAGAAAAAUAAAAUAACAUUUUUUGGGGGAAAAAAAAAGUUACAUUUAAUCUUCUGUUCUCUUUUGUUAUUUUGUAACGUUACAAGAGGUAACUUGAGCUGUACAAAACGCACGGUCCGGAUAGUAACGGAACCCGUCAGGGCCGCCAGCACCGCCCCGCUCUGCCUCCUGCCCUCUGCCCGAACCCGGGCAGCCUCCGGUGGAAGGAGUGACUUUAUUUGGCGCUGCCUGGGUGCCAGGAGGAGGGCUGUGAGCCUUGGAGCGCAGCACCGGAGCGUUCCCGUCCCGAGCCCUCGGCGGAAUCCACGCAGCGGCACCGGGGAACGCCGAGGACAGCGCUGCCUGGGAUGGAGCCCCUCGCUGGGAAACGAGCACAUCGCAGCUCUCGGUUCGCCGCUUCUCGCUGCCCUACCGCGCACACGCAGAGCGAGGCGCUGCCCUUUCCCUAGGGCAUGUCCACCGGCUCCGCCAGCAGCUUCUCCCUCUCCGGCUCCCACCAGGAAGACAAACCGAGGACAAUCCUGAAAUACAAAAAUUUCUUCCCUGGGAUUUGCUGCUGCUGCCGCCGCUGUUGCUGCCGCGGUGCAGUGCCAAGACUCUCGGAAUAAAUAAAAGCGGGCUACUGUGUGUCUGUAGAUGCGGGCAGCUAAUAGCUAUUAUUAGUUGGCCAUUGAUUUCGAAGAUCACAGAUGAAGUGGGGACGCCUUUCUUCUUCAUUUGGUCAGCGUGUGAAACAAUAAUACUCGUAACAAAUAGGAGGGAGAUGGGGGUGAAAAAAUCUUGACAUGAUUCAGAAGAAAUAAUACCUAGCGCACUCCCCCCUAAGCCGGAGCCCCCCUUCAUUCCCCCUCCCCGCUCCCUCUCUAGCCACACGCUCGCAGGCGCGGACACACACACACACACACAGUCGCGCACACACAUCCACACACAGGCGCACGCACUGUGCUGUGUGCUUUCGGAGGAGGAGGUGGUGGAGGCUUUUGGAAAAGGAGGAAGAGGUGGCGUUGGGGAGGGGGG
Molecule: long non-coding RNA, 1185 nt
Filed under: Chrysolophus pictus (golden pheasant)
Lineage: Eukaryota; Metazoa; Chordata; Aves; Galliformes; Phasianidae
Description: lncRNA (ENSCPIG00010008827.1)
Source: RNAcentral